AUAUCAAUAAGGCGAGGAACAGAAACCAACAGGGAUUCCCCUAGUAGUGGCGAAUGAAGCGGGAAAAGCUCAAGUUUGAAAUCCAGUGGCUCGUCCUCUGGAGUUGUAAGCUGAAGAGGCUGUGACCGACGUGGGCCGGGUCCAAUUCUCUUGGAACAGGGAGUCAUGGAGGGUGAGAACCCCGUCUGUGACUCGGAUCCCAUCGUCCUAGUGUCGCGGUCUCCAAGAGUCGGGUUGUUUGGGAAUGCAGCUCAAAAUGGGUGGUAAAUCUCAUCUAAAGCUAAAUAUUGGCGAGAGACCGAUAGCGCACAAGUA
This 315-nucleotide ribosomal RNA is filed under the name uncultured eukaryote. RNAcentral describes it as "partial large subunit ribosomal RNA". It matches the Rfam family "Eukaryotic large subunit ribosomal RNA", at positions 40 to 350 of the family's 3401-position model. The record is from RNAcentral.